UACGUAGGGGGCUAGCGUUGUCCGGAUUUAUUGGGCGUAAAGAGCUCGUAGGCGGUUUGUCGCGUCUGCCGUGAAAGUCCGGGGCUCAACUCCGGAUCUGCGGUGGGUACGGGCAGACUAGAGUGAUGUAGGGGAGACUGGAAUUCCUGGUGUAGCGGUGAAAUGCGUAGAUAUCAGGAGGAACACCAAUGGCGAAGGCAGCUCGCUGGGACGGUACUGACGCUGAGACGCGAAAGCGUGGGGAGCAAACAGG
RNAcentral lists this ribosomal RNA (253 nucleotides) under uncultured bacterium. Its description in RNAcentral is "partial 16S ribosomal RNA". It matches the Rfam family "Bacterial small subunit ribosomal RNA", at positions 524 to 776 of the family's 1533-position model. The record is from RNAcentral.